GCUUCAAAUUUAUAGGGUUUUUUCCAAUUGCGAGUGUUGUCCGACAGAGGGCGAUACCUUCUUUUAGAAGAAAGCCCUGAAAUAAAGAUUAAGAAGAAGAAGAAAUAAUAGGGCAGUGCAUGUUGGUGUUUAAACGAGAAAAGUCCUGAACAAUACACGUUAUUCUCAUCAAAUAGUGAAUAUUUACUAUUUUUGGGUUGUACUGAGUUGUUUUUUUUUAAGUACAAAAUGCCAAAAUUUGCUGCAUCCCGAGGUGGAAAAUCUAGCUCAGGAAUUGACUGACCUGACCAUUGAGUCUAAGAUGCGUGAAAAAAUCUCUAAAGACAACAUCGUCCGGAAAUCAUUGGCAGAUUUUGAGAAAGAUGCUGGAAAAUCCCAUUCAAAAGCCAUUCCCUUGGCCCAGAGCUCACCAAUCAUCAGAUACAUCUUGGAGGAGCUUAAAGCCCUCCGACCGAGUUACAAUUAAUUGUACAGAGUAGAAAAUAAACUUCCAAUUUAUUCAAAUAA
Molecule: long non-coding RNA, 507 nt
Organism: Phlebotomus papatasi
Lineage: Eukaryota; Metazoa; Arthropoda; Insecta; Diptera; Psychodidae
Exons: 2
Source: RefSeq, a predicted model, not a curated record